This 45-nucleotide transfer RNA is filed under the name Boana albopunctata (spotted treefrog). RNAcentral's name for it is "partial tRNA-Gly". Lineage: Eukaryota; Metazoa; Chordata; Amphibia; Anura; Hylidae. The record is from RNAcentral.
UAGAAAAGUAGGAAUUGAACCUACAACUAAGAGAUCAAAACCCUC